UACGAAGGGGGCUAGCGUUGCUCGGAAUCACUGGGCGUAAAGGGUGCGUAGGCGGGUCUUUAAGUCAGGGGUGAAAUCCUGGAGCUCAACUCCAGAACUGCCUUUGAUACUGAGGAUCUUGAGUACGGGAGAGGUGAGUGGAACUGCGAGUGUAGAGGUGGAAUUCGUAGAUAUUCGCAAGAACACCAGUGGCGAAGGCGGCUCACUGGCCCGUAACUGACGCUGAGGCACGAAAGCGUGGGGAGCAAACAGG
Molecule: ribosomal RNA, 253 nt
Filed under: uncultured bacterium
Lineage: Bacteria
Description: partial 16S ribosomal RNA
Rfam family: Bacterial small subunit ribosomal RNA
Source: RNAcentral